Molecule: ribosomal RNA, 500 nt
Filed under: uncultured Halorubrum sp.
Lineage: Archaea; Methanobacteriati; Methanobacteriota; Halobacteria; Halobacteriales; Haloferacaceae
Description: SSU rRNA
Rfam family: Archaeal small subunit ribosomal RNA
Source: RNAcentral
ACGGGGUGCAGCAGGCGCGAAACCUUUACACUGCACGACAGUGCGAUAGGGGGAUCCCAAGUGCACAGGCAUAGCGCCUGUGCUUUUCGGUACCCUAAGGCGGUACCAGAAUAAGGGCUGGGCAAGACCGGUGCCAGCCGCCGCGGUAAUACCGGCAGCCCAAGUGAUGGCCGAUCUUAUUGGGCCUAAAGCGUCCGUAGCUGGCCACGCAAGUCCAUCGGGAAAUCCACCUGCCCAACAGGUGGGCGCCCGGUAGAAACUGCAUGGCUUGGGACCGGAAGGCGCGACGGGUACGUCCGGGGUAGGAGUGAAAUCCCGUAAUCCUGGACGGACCGCCGAUGGCGAAAGCACGUCGCGAGAACGGAUCCGACAGUGAGGGACGAAAGCCAGGGUCUCGAACCGGAUUAGAUACCCGGGUAGUCCUGGCCGUAAACAAUGUCUGCUAGGUGUGGCUCCCACUACGAGUGGGUGCUGUGCCGUAGGGAAGCCGCUAAGCAGAC